Molecule: long non-coding RNA, 492 nt
Organism: Carassius auratus (goldfish)
Lineage: Eukaryota; Metazoa; Chordata; Actinopteri; Cypriniformes; Cyprinidae
Exons: 2
Source: RefSeq, a predicted model, not a curated record
AGGAGAGCAGAGUUCUGACACCAUUUACUCCAAAUUGAUGUUUUAAGGUGCUGUUUCUGGAUCAAUAUGACGAAUGCUCAGACAACCUUCAUCAAAACAGGAAUACAAAAAAAAAAAGAAUAUGUUGAAGAAUUUGAUAUAUUACCCUGAUUAUUAAUUGUAUAGUUUAAAUUAUUAAACAUAAUAUGCAAAUCUUCAUAAUCUGUGACAUUUUAAAUCAUGAUUCUGACCACUGAUACAGUACUGCAUUUACUGUUACAUUUAUUAUAUGUAUAACAGAAUUGUGAAUAUUAAAAGCAAAUAGCAAUAGGCCUCCACUAGAUGUCAUAAUAGUCGCUUCAGCCACAUUUUUGGUUAGCACUUGUGCAUUAUUUUGUUAUAUACUGUGUCCUCUUGCUUUGAUACCUGUGCUGCUUGUAGCCUGUUUUUAUUAUGUAAGCCAAUCAAAUGUACUUUUCACAUGUUGCAAAAUCUAAAUAAAGUACUAAAGCG